GACGACGAGGUAGAUAGGUUGGAGGUGGAAGUGCAGCAAUGCAUGGAGCUGACCAAUACUAAUCGGUCGAGGGCUUAUCCAA
Molecule: non-coding RNA, 82 nt
Filed under: Paenibacillus rhizosphaerae
Lineage: Bacteria; Bacillati; Bacillota; Bacilli; Caryophanales; Paenibacillaceae
Description: Bacterial large subunit ribosomal RNA
Rfam family: Bacterial large subunit ribosomal RNA
Source: Rfam by way of RNAcentral